Dermochelys coriacea (leatherback sea turtle) is the source of this 1955-nucleotide long non-coding RNA. RefSeq lists it as uncharacterized. The transcript is spliced from 6 exons. The record is from RefSeq and is a predicted model, not a curated record. NCBI's taxonomy places the organism in Eukaryota, Metazoa, Chordata, Testudines, Dermochelyidae.
GAGAAAACUUAUAGGAUAACCACUUUAAAGGUUUCAAUAUUACAACUGAGUGAGAAACAUUUUUCCUGUCUGUAACAGGGUGGCACUCACCCCUCUCUCUGGUUGCAGAGAGUCUUCAAUGAUUCAGCCCUCUGGCCAAUUCACCCACAGUCUGUAAGUUCAACACAAGCAAAACAAACCCCUUCCAGGAUAUGCAGUCUGGGAGAGGCCUACCUCAGUACCCCACAGUUGGAACAUCUCUUGCUUCAGCCCUCCCUGGGCUCAGUCCCUUAAAUAGUCCCACAGUCUUUAAAUAGUCCUGACUCUGGCAUGGGGCCAUAUCCCCAAGGCUUCCUCCCUGGACCCAAUGCCUUCACCCUCUCUGGGCCCUAUUGGCCCUAGCUGGGCUGCUAAACAGUUUAGGUCCCCUUCUGGGGGUAUAUCAAAGUCCAAUAUCACUGACCCUCUUGGAAGUCUUCAAUCUCCUCUCCUGGAGAUAGUUCAGUUCCCCUCUCGGGGGUUAGGCCAGUUCAGUGGCCAGUUGGGGGAAACCAGGCAUGACCACUACUUCAGGUCCCAGCCCAGGAACCCUAUAAGUAGCAGCCAUGUGCUACUGCAUUCCCUUUAACUCAACUGCUUCUGUUCCCUGGGCUACUUCCUCACAGCCCUUCUUCACCUUCAUGAACACUUCACCCUUACCUUUGGGCAUUCAGCUACCAAAUCUCAGCAGUCAGCCAGGAGCUCUUUCUUACUCCCCUGGUCCCUGCCAUCAACUUCUCUGUCCAUGGUACUACAGUUCCUUCUGCCAGCCAGGAACACCAUCCUUGAUCCUCUGCUUCCCUCCAACAACUGACUCUGUUCAGGUACUGCAGCUCUUUUUAUAUGGCCCUGUUGGGCCCGGAUUGGCUGCUUCCCUGCAGUCUCUUCCUGAUUGGCUGUUUGGAGAACUCACCUCGAUUGCUCUUUUCUGGGACAGGGUAUGAUAUGACCAUGAGGCCUCCAGGAGAAGGCCUUUGGGUCUCAUACACUUGUCAGACCAUCCCACAAAAAAAUUAGAUUUUUUUUUUAAAUUCCCAUUCCACAACAGAAUGAAACAAAGGCCUUUUCAAGUUUUUCAUGAAAAACAAGAGAGACAGAAACCUACCCCAAAAUACUCAAUAGCUUGGGUAGUUAGGACAUUCUGCUGGAAUGCAGAAAAUUCAGGUUCAUGUCCCUGCUCUGAAUCAAACCAGCUCUACUCAACAGGCAACCACAUGGUCAAAAUAGGAACCCCAGCUGACGAAAAGGACAUAGAAAACAAGCUUCAGCCAAUACAUUCAAAAAUAGUAAUUGUACCUUUUCCACUCAUGAACUCUGAGAAAAAUUCAUCCCAGGAGUUAUAACUGGGGAUGUCUGAGACGUUGUUUAAGAAAUGGAAAAACGAUGCAGCGGUAUCUUGAGGAUUUCGAAACAACACCCGUAUCUGGAGUGGGAGGAAGAGGUUUCUCAACAAAAGAUUAAAUAAAAUUGCACAGGUUCUUCUCUGCACACCACUUUUCAAGUCAACCAGAAAAAGGAACAUGGACUACUGGUGUACUAUAUUCUGGUCUGGACUGUUUUCUAGUCACAAGCACCUGGAGCUGUAAUCACAGUUGGACUGAGCUACUGAUGCAUUUUAUGGAAAAAAGGGGCCCUGUGAACCCUACAGUCAAAGAUGAGAGGCAAGAAAGGUCAGGUGGGUAUCACAAAUGGCAGGCUCAGUAGAGACGCAGCCAAGCCCACCAGAGAACAACACACGAUGGCAACUUUCUCCUUCCCCUUCUGAUGGGAGAAGAGACCAUGGCUAUCGCAUUGCACCCUGCUGACAGACUGGGAGCAAUGAAGGGAGGCUAACACUGAGUAUGUGUAGGUGUGGAAGGAACGCAGCAGGGAAUGACAGCCAUAAUUGAGCAAGAGGGAAAUAAUCAUCACUUGUUAUAUGUUAUAAAAAUGUUAAA